RNAcentral lists this non-coding RNA (114 nucleotides) under Intrasporangium chromatireducens Q5-1. RNAcentral's name for it is "Intrasporangium sp. Q5-1 SAM (S-adenosyl methionine) riboswitch aptamer". It matches the Rfam family "SAM (S-adenosyl methionine) riboswitch aptamer". Rfam says of the family: SAM-IV is a mRNA element that regulates gene expression via direct sensing of S-adenosylmethionine (SAM or AdoMet). SAM-IV riboswitches share conserved nucleotide positions with the previously described SAM-I riboswitches sequence analysis and molecular recognition experiments suggest that SAM-I and SAM-IV riboswitches share similar ligand binding sites, but have different scaffolds. RNAcentral also lists the same sequence under 1 other name. Lineage: Bacteria; Bacillati; Actinomycetota; Actinomycetes; Micrococcales; Intrasporangiaceae. The record is from Rfam by way of RNAcentral.
GGUCAUGAGCGCCAGCGCCAAGCCCCGGCUCGCUGGCCAGCAACCCUCCUUCCGCGGCGGGGUGCUCCGGGUGACGACCGGGCCGUGCCCGUCCGGGCGCGGCAAGCGCGGACC